RNAcentral lists this ribosomal RNA (325 nucleotides) under uncultured bacterium. RNAcentral describes it as "bacterial SSU rRNA". It matches the Rfam family "Bacterial small subunit ribosomal RNA", at positions 28 to 334 of the family's 1533-position model. The record is from RNAcentral.
GACGAACGCUGGCGGCGCGCCUAACACAUGCAAGUCGAACGGAGCGCUUCUGAAAGAGGAUUCGUCCAAUUGAGGAAGCUGCUUAGUGGCGGACGGGUGAGUAACGCGUGAGGAACCUGCCUCGGAGUGGGGAAUAACAGUUAGAAAUGACUGCUAAUACCGCAUAAUACAGUUGGGCCGCAUGGCUCUGACUGUCAAAGAUUUAUCGCUCUGAGAUGGUCUCGCGUCUGAUUAGCUAGUUGGUGAGGUAAUGGCCCACCAAGGCGACGAUCAGUAGCCGGUCUGAGAGGAUGAACGGCCACAUUGGGACUGAGAUACGGCCCAG